CAAGAAGAAGAAUAAGGAUAAGGAUAAGAAGCCAGCGAAAAGAAUAGCUUGAUUAAGAACGGACAUUUUAACAAGAAAAACAAAGUUAAAAAGAAGAAUUAAUCUAAUUCCUUUUGAUAGCACACAGCCAACGAGUUUUCACGAUGUGGUUUAUACCUGUUGUAAGCACCUUGUGUUUGCAAUAAACAUCAGUUUGAGGAAACCACUUGUGUCUGGAAGUGCUUCGAGGGAAUUACAGUGAAAACUCGUACUGUUCAUCGGCGCGAGUGGCGCGUGCGUGGCGAGGCAGCAGGACCAGCAGACUUGUCAGGGCACGAACAGCGCGUGCAAGGGGUGGAGCUACGAGGAGAUGCUUGAGCCGGGAGCACACAGAGGAAAGGAGAGCGCAGUUUGAAAGGCAACGUUCAAGAUAAGACCAUAAGAAGCUUGGACACUCAUAAGUUAAGGAGGCCUAAGUAAAAGAGGCAAGCUUGAAAGUUUACUAAGCAAACUGUGAUUCAAAACAAGUCCUGUGUAGCACAUUUUGGUUCAUUUGUUCAUAUUAUUGACAGCUUCCCCGCUGGUAUAAGUCAAGUUAAAGUAUUCAAGUUAAAGGGCCAGUAUAUUUAUUUAAUAUUGGUACAUUUUAUUUUCAAGCAUUUUGGUUAAUGUUAUUCUCACAUGUUUAUGAAAGGCUACUAAGCAUUAUACAAGUUAGUUUGACUCUAUUCUAAACACUAUUACAGUGACUAGUUACAUUGACUGUGUAUUAUUCGUUAAUUUGAGACUAUUUGGGUUUCUAUUCUAAAUACUAUUACAGUUAAAAGUUACAUUAACAUUACGACUAUUUCAUACUUAUAUUGAUACUUCAUCAUACUUCCAAUUGACUAUCAGAUGUUUAAAAAAAAGGGGGACACUCUUUACUACUAUUUUACUGACAAAUUUAUUUAAUUUUGACAUUUAACAUGACUGAACCAAAUCAGACCCAAGACCAACCCAAGCCUAACACAGAAGAGGAAGAAGUUACUAACCCUGAAGUCCCACAAGAACCUGCGACCCAACCAAGGAAAAGUACAAGAGUCAGAACAUUAACAGAGAAAGGGAAGGAAAUGCAGGAUAAAAGGAUUCAAGGGCUUCAACAGAGAUUUAACUACAAUUUUGAAAAAUGGAGAACAUGUGCCAAAUCAACUAAGCAGCCACUGUCACAAUCAGAACCCUUAACUGAGGACCUGCUUAAUGAUAUUAUUGGUGAUGUUACAGGCCUUUCUGCAGAUGUUCAGCGAGCAUACAACGAGCUACGCCAACUAACACCUCCUGAUCAAGAAACACGUCGCAAAGUAGAUGUCUGCAUACAGAUCUCCAAGUUUAUUGUAUCCAAGGCAAUAAGUUAUAUUGACAAGAACCCUACAGAAGAGGAACAAGUUUGGCCAGAUGUAGGCUCUCUAUUUGACUCAUCUAUCUGUAAGUCAUGCAUCUCUGACCAUUCUAGUAAAUCCUCUGUGAGACACCAAGAAGCUGCAGCAGAAGCAGCUGCAAGUCAAGCUGUUCUAAAAGUGUUAGAAGAACAAGAAAUUGAACAAAUAGAAAUCGAAAGACUCGAAGCUGAAGUUAAAAGAAAGGCAGCAGAACAAGAAGCCUUAACCAAAAGACUUCGUUUAGAAAGAGAAGCAGAGGAGCUUAAGAUGAGAAUGCAAAGAGAAGAGGAUGAAGCUAAGUUUAAAGCUAAACAAGAGGAAGAGUAUGCAGCCCUACAAAGAUCACUUGAUGAAAGAAAAAGAAAGUUGCAGCACUUGGAAAAGGUGAAAGAUCUACGUGCAGCUCAAGCAAGAAUGCAAGUGUAUGAUCAAAUAAGUGUAACAGAAGAGCCAAAGAUGGUCAUAACAAACCCAGCAACAGAAAGAAGAGCCAUUGAACAUGUAACUGUUCCUCCACUGCAAAGAUAUGUGAGUGGACGAGCAAAGAGUGCACUGGAUGGAUACUUCCUGCUUGGAACUGACCCUGCCUACACUGAAAAAACAAACUUUCUUGGAGACUCCAAAUGACAGCAUGAGCUGCUGUGAUUGGCUGAUGGUCCUUCUGUCAUUCGUUCUGGUGGUUCUCACUUUUCCGCUCACCAUAUGGUGCUUUAAGAUCAUUCACCAGAAUGAGAGGGCUGUUCUCUUUCGUAUGGGUCACAUUUGGAGAGGAAGCAAAGGACCAGGGUUGGUGUUUAUGUUGCCGUUCACCGACACCUUGAUUAAAGUCAGCAUAAGACUCUUCACCUUAAGCAUCCCAUCACAAGAGGUAUGACACACACACACACACUCACUCUACCAGAUACAAUCAACACGUCCAAUAAUUUACAACUUCAUAGAAAUUCAAAGAUCAGUCAAACUAUAGUAGCACUCAUUGAACACAUACUGUAACUUCAUGUUCAAGUCACCAAAUCAAGAUCUUCAUCAGGACUCAAAUUAUAUCUUGCAGCCUGUUAUGUGAUAGUUUUUAACCAAAAUAUGUACUUUUUAGCUAUUGUUUUUGAAUUAUAUUAAAAAUAUUCCACUCAGUACUCUGCAUUGUAUUUUAUUUUUAAACCUGUUGUGCUGCUUUCAGGUUUUGACCAGUGACUUAUCUCAACUUCAGCAGUGGAGAUAAAUGUUCUUCACCCAACAGUGAUGAUAUGAGAAUGAUUACAAGAAGGCACUACCAGUUCAAAUGAAGCUUUUUAAUAUUGUCCAAUUUAUUUUUUGAUAGUAUCUACACCACAAGCUGCACAGGGUAACCUCCAGUUCAUCAUCAGUGGGAGAUUGGCACUCGGGAGAUGGCGUUGCAGGCAUGUUGACCUGGCUUCAACAGGUCAAUAUGGCCUAGGUGAUUUUAGUCUUUUUUCCAUGUUUAAUUAAAGGCUUCUUAAUAUUUUUUCCUCUUUUGUCUUUUUGGUUUCCCAUUUUCACUUGCUACAAAAGGAAGUGUUGUAGUACUGAAGUCUCCCAGCCGCACUGUGUUGACCCCCAAAUUGUGAAUCUGCUGCAAAUCGUGAAUUAUCGCCAAAACCAUUCAUGAAAAUUUAUGCAAACCGUGAAUAAAAUAUCCCACAAAACAUGAACGCAGGCCUCGCAAAAAUAUAAGUCGCAAAGCGUUAAUAUUUUCAUCAUUUUAAGUCAUUUACGGAUUUCAGUUUAUGGGUCAAUCACUUAAGGAAAUCUUGAUUGCAAACAGUCUGCAAUUUUUUUGGAGGGGGGGUGACUACACCUGGUGAGGUGGGGAGGCGAGCCCUGGCCGGGCUCACGCUUCUGAUCUCAAGUGACAGGUGGGAAGUUUGAGUGGGGCGAUACACCUGUCAAAUGGUAACGCAGGUGUCUGUAGGCAAACUCGGGGGAUCACUUAAGUACACCCUUAGAGAAUAUGAGUGAAAUUGGUCAACCGGUUCUUGAGAUAUUGCUUUGACAAGCAAAAAACGGACAGACAGACAUGCUGAUCGCUAUAUCCACCAGAGGGGGAUAAAAAUGAAUGAAUCAAGCUGGCAGUCUUAAAUUAUCUGCUCUUGUUCAAGAUUGAUUUACCUAUAAAUCCAGCAGAGGGUGCUAGAGCUCUUCAUGUGUGACAGGACGGAAUUGGAAGGGCUCUAUUAUUAUUUUCAAUUUUCCUCUGUCUGUGAGGACGAUGGAGUUGGAAAUCUAAGCAGGACAGCUGAAGCUUGGAGAGAACUGACAUCCCCCUGAGCACCUCUCCAAACAUUCCCUCAUCUCUUCAGACCUGCAGAGCCCUUAUCCUUCAGGCCAUCUUGCAAAG
RNA transcript from Thalassophryne amazonica, 3747 nucleotides. It is a transcript of the gene named erythrocyte band 7 integral membrane protein-like, with no coding region annotated. The record is from RefSeq and is a predicted model, not a curated record. Lineage: Eukaryota; Metazoa; Chordata; Actinopteri; Batrachoidiformes; Batrachoididae. The transcript is spliced from 6 exons.